UAAUUUGUCCAGGAAAAAUCUUUAUCUAGUUAGGGCAGACUCACACAUGACUAUUCAAAAUCACUUGUUAUCGUAGACCCGACUACAUAAUUAUCCCCAGGUUUGAGAGAACUCAUUCUCAAGUUCUGUUU
Non-coding RNA from Populus trichocarpa (black cottonwood), 131 nucleotides. The record is from Rfam. NCBI's taxonomy places the organism in Eukaryota, Viridiplantae, Streptophyta, Magnoliopsida, Malpighiales, Salicaceae.